Molecule: ribosomal RNA, 492 nt
Filed under: uncultured bacterium
Lineage: Bacteria
Description: partial 16S ribosomal RNA
Rfam family: Bacterial small subunit ribosomal RNA (bases 61-492)
Source: RNAcentral
GGGGGGGGGGGGGGGGGGGGGGGGGGGGGGCGGGGCGGGCGGCGGGGGGGGGGGGGGGGGCGGUGGCGGGGGGGGGGGGGGGGGCGGGUGGGGGGGGGAUCGGGAUCGACGCUGUCGGGGGGGAUCACGGAGGGAAACGUACGCUAGUACCGCAUACGACCUACGGGUGAAAGCAGGGGAGCUUCGGACCUUGCGCGAUUGAAUGAGCCGAUGUCGGAUUAGCUAGUUGGCGGGGUAAAGGCCCACCCAGGCGGCGAUCCGUAGCUGGUCUGAGAGGAUGAUCAGCGACACUGGAACUGAGACACGGUCCAGACUCCUACGGGAGGCAGCAGUGGGGAAUAUUGGACAAUGGGCGCAAGCCUGAUCCAGCCAUACCGCGUGGGUGGAGAAGGCCUUGGGGUUGUAAAGCCCUUUUGUUGGGAAAGAAAAGCAGCAGGUUAAUACCCCGCUGUUCUGACGGUACCCAAAGAAUAGGCACCGGCUAACUUCGUG